AAGUAUUGCUGCCAUGAAGACACCUCGUGCUAAGACACCUUGUGCUUGGGGUAUUUUGACAUUUUAACACUCAAUUUCUUUAACCUUAAAGCAUGAUCUCGUGUGUGUGUGUGUGUGUGUGUGUGUGUGUGUGUGUGUAUAUAUAUAUAUAUAUCUCUUA
RNAcentral lists this small RNA (160 nucleotides) under Olea europaea subsp. europaea. Lineage: Eukaryota; Viridiplantae; Streptophyta; Magnoliopsida; Lamiales; Oleaceae. The record is from RNAcentral.